CCUACGGGUGGUAGCAGUGGGGAAUAUUGGACAAUGGGCGAAAGCCUGAUCCAGCCAUGCCGCGUGUGUGAAGAAGGCCUUCGGGUUGUAAAGCACUUUCAGUGGGGAAGAAAGCCUUGGGGCUAAUACCCUCGAGGAAGGACAUCACCCACAGAAGAAGCACCGGCUAACUCCGUGCCAGCAGCCGCGGUAUACGGAGGGUGCGAGCGUUAAUCGGAAUUACUGGGCGUAAAGCGCGCGUAGGCGGUCUGAUAAGCCGGUUGUGAAAGCCCCGGGCUCAACCUGGGAACGGCAUCCGGAACUGUCAGGCUAGAGUGCAGGAGAGGAAGGUAGAAUUCCCGGUGUAGCGGUGAAAUGCGUAGAGAUCGGGAGGAAUACCAGUGGCGAAGGCGGCCUUCUGGACUGACACUAACGCUGAGGUGCGAAAGCGUGGGUAGCAAACAGGAUUAGAUACCCGUGUAGUC
This 464-nucleotide ribosomal RNA is filed under the name Vreelandella stevensii. RNAcentral's name for it is "partial 16S ribosomal RNA". It matches the Rfam family "Bacterial small subunit ribosomal RNA", at positions 338 to 795 of the family's 1533-position model. The record is from RNAcentral. Lineage: Bacteria; Pseudomonadati; Pseudomonadota; Gammaproteobacteria; Oceanospirillales; Halomonadaceae.